RNAcentral lists this ribosomal RNA (253 nucleotides) under uncultured bacterium. RNAcentral describes it as "partial 16S ribosomal RNA". It matches the Rfam family "Bacterial small subunit ribosomal RNA", at positions 524 to 776 of the family's 1533-position model. The record is from RNAcentral.
UACAGAGGUCUCAACCGUUGUUCGGAUUCAUUGGGCGUAAAGCGUGCGCAGGCGGUUCGCCAAGUCAGGUGUGAAAUCCCCGGGCUUAACCUGGGAAUUGCGCUUGAAACUAGCGGGCUUGAGUGUGGCAGAGGGGGGUGGAAUUCCACGUGUAGCAGUGAAAUGCGUAGAGAUGUGGAGGAACACCGAUGGCGAAGGCAGCCCCCUGGGUCAACACUGACGCUCAUGCACGAAAGCGUGGGGAGCAAACAGG